GUGGCGACGAUGCGUAGGGGUUCUGAGAGGAAGGUCCCCCACACUGGUACUGAGACACGGACCAGACUCCUACGGGAGGCAGCAGUGAGGAAUAUUGGUCAAUGGGAGAGAUCCUGAACCAGCCAAGCCGCGUGAGGGAAGACGGCCCUAUGGGUUGUAAACCUCUUUUGUCGGAGAACAAAACCCGGGACGAGUCCCGGACUGCGUGUAUCCGAAGAAAAAGCAUCGGCUAACUCCGUGCCAGCAGCCGCGGUAAUACGGAGGAUGCGAGCGUUAUCCGGAUUUAUUGGGUUUAAAGGGUGCGUAGGCGGUCUGUUAAGUCAGCGGUAAAAUUGCGGGGCUCAACCCCGUCGAGCCGUUGAAACUGGCAGACUUGAGUUGGCGAGAAGUACGCGGAAUGCGCGGUGUAGCGGUGAAAUGCAUAGAUAUCGCGCAGAACUCCGAUUGCGAAGGCAGCGUACCGGCGCCAGACUGACGCUGAGGCACGAAAGCGUGGGGAUCGAACAGGAUUAGAUACCCUGGUAGUCCACGCAGUAAACGAUGAAUGCUGGUUGUCCGGGUCGAAUGAGACCUGG
This 575-nucleotide ribosomal RNA is filed under the name uncultured bacterium. RNAcentral describes it as "bacterial SSU rRNA". It matches the Rfam family "Bacterial small subunit ribosomal RNA", at positions 270 to 842 of the family's 1533-position model. The record is from RNAcentral.